CCUCGCACCGCCGCCGAGAAAACAAUUCAUGGGAAUGGGUCCUUCUCCCGUUUCACGUCCCAUCCUGCGUUUGGCAGACGUCACGGCUACAUCUCUCACAAAUCUCUCCAGCCGGUGGCAUUGAGAUGAAACCUGCUAAGCUGACGCUCACUCCAUCAGGCUGAGGCUUUACAGAUGUGCAGAACAGGCAGCAUUUGAUCACAGCACUGAAGAAAAGGUUGGCAACCCCUUUGGCCUGCCAGAUUUGCCUUCUAGGGUGAGGAGCUGCGGAUGGCGAUCCCGUGCUGAUUACACCUGUCAGUUAUCAACAAACAGGUUAAAAUGUCCCUUCCACUCUGGAUAUGUCCCUCUUGUUUCAUUCAGGUGUCAGGACUUCUCGCCGGUGAUGGUUUUUGGAAGCAUUAGCGUCU
Molecule: long non-coding RNA, 410 nt
Organism: Aquila chrysaetos chrysaetos
Lineage: Eukaryota; Metazoa; Chordata; Aves; Accipitriformes; Accipitridae
Exons: 3
Source: RefSeq, a predicted model, not a curated record